This 429-nucleotide ribosomal RNA is filed under the name Verrucomicrobiota bacterium. Its description in RNAcentral is "Verrucomicrobia bacterium partial 16S ribosomal RNA". It matches the Rfam family "Bacterial small subunit ribosomal RNA", at positions 355 to 776 of the family's 1533-position model. Lineage: Bacteria; Pseudomonadati; Verrucomicrobiota. The record is from RNAcentral.
UAGGGAAUCUUCCGCAAUGGACGAAAGUCUGACGGAGCAACGCCGCGUGAGUGAAGAAGGAUUUCGGUUCGUAAAACUCUGUUGUUAGGGAAGAAAAAAUGUAUAGUAACUAUAUACAAAAGAGACGGUACCUAACCAGAAAGCCACGGCUAACUACGUGCCAGCAGCCGCGGUAAUACGUAGGUGGCAAGCGUUGUCCGGAAUUAUUGGGCGUAAAGCGCGCGCAGGUGGUUUAGAAAGUCUGAUGUGAAAGCCCACGGCUCAACCGUGGAGGGUCAUUGGAAAUUAAUAAACUUGAGUGCAGGAGAGAAAAGUGGAAUUCCUAGUGUAGCGGUGAAAUGCGUAGAGAUUAGGAGGAACACCGGUGGCGAAAGCGGCUUUUUGGCCUGCAACUGACACUGAGGCGCGAAAGCGUGGGGAGCAAACAGG